GAGGGACCACCUCGAUUGAUUGUGUUCUGAGGAGGAGCAAAGUUCCCAGGAGGAAAUCCAUACGAGGGUGAAGAAGAAGCCAUGGGAGGGUAUAAUGUGGCGCUCGGGCCUCUCACUCCUUGUACAUGAGGAGGAGGAGGAGGAGGUGGAGGGUGAGGAUAAUAAUGGUCCCUCGGAGGAUACAUGAAUGCUGUAGGGUUUCUACUACUAAACUCUAUGGAACCAGCUACAAAAGUUCAUUCAAAAGAUACAUAAUCAAGAUUAUUACAGUUCAAAGCUUCAAAAAAGAGAUAAUGGGUGGGUAGGUACCGUGCAUGUAAGGUGGGUGAGGCCAAAACGAGGGUGAACCAUCAGGCCUGCCAUGGUGUUGGUCGUACCAGAUUGAGCCAGGAGGUGGGAAAGGAUGAUGACCAGGAUAGCUCCCUUGAAUGAAGCUAUUAGGAGCAUGAGGAGGAGGAGGAGGAGGAAGAACAGGGUUCAUCGGUCUGCUCCUUGGGCCUCCAAAAGGAGCUAUUGUCUCAGGUGUAUUGUUGAAUGGAGCUGCUAAAGUACUUAAAGACUGAUGAUUCAUCACUGGUAUUCCUUCGGCGUUCUUUC
RNAcentral lists this long non-coding RNA (597 nucleotides) under Brassica rapa (field mustard). RNAcentral's name for it is "long non-coding RNA (BRAP_LNC003488)". The record is from RNAcentral. Lineage: Eukaryota; Viridiplantae; Streptophyta; Magnoliopsida; Brassicales; Brassicaceae.